GGAAUAUUGGACAAUGGGGGCAACCCUGAUCCAGCCAUGCCGCGUGUGUGAAGAAGGCCUUUUGGUUGUAAAGCACUUUAAGCAGGGAGGAGAGGCUAAUGGUUAAUACCCAUUAGAUUAGACGUUACCUGCAGAAUAAGCACCGGCUAACUCUGUGCCAGCAGCCGCGGUAAUACAGAGGGUGCGAGCGUUAAUCGGAAUUACUGGGCGUAAAGCGAGUGUAGGUGGCUCAUUAAGUCACAUGUGAAAUCCCCGGGCUUAACCUGGGAACUGCAUGUGAUACUGGUGGUGCUAGAAUAUGUGAGAGGGAAGUAGAAUUCCAGGUGUAGCGGUGAAAUGCGUAGAGAUCUGGAGGAAUACCGAUGGCGAAGGCAGCUUCCUGGCAUAAUAUUGACACUGAGAUUCGAAAGCGUGGGUAGCAAACAGGAUUAGAUACCCUGGUAGUCCACGCCGUAAACGAUGUCUACUAGCCGUUGGGGUCCUUGAGACUUUAGUGGCGCAGUUAACGCGAUAAGUAGACCGCCUGGGGAGUACGGCCGCAAGGUUAAAACUCAAAUGAAUUGACGG
Molecule: ribosomal RNA, 567 nt
Filed under: uncultured bacterium
Lineage: Bacteria
Description: bacterial SSU rRNA
Rfam family: Bacterial small subunit ribosomal RNA
Source: RNAcentral